GGCGACCGGCGCACGGGUGCGUAACGCGUAUGCAACCUACCUUAUACAAAGGGAUAGCCCAUGGAAACGUGGAUUAAUACCUUAUAGUACUAUAAAGCUACCUGGUUUAAUAGUUAAAACUUCGGUGGUAUAAGAUGGGCAUGCGUAGGAUUAGCUAGAUGGUGGGGUAACGGCCCACCAUGGCGACGAUCCUUAGGGGUUCUGAGAGGAUUAUCCCCCACACUGGUACUGAGACACGGACCAG
RNAcentral lists this ribosomal RNA (244 nucleotides) under uncultured bacterium. RNAcentral's name for it is "partial 16S ribosomal RNA". It matches the Rfam family "Bacterial small subunit ribosomal RNA", at positions 90 to 334 of the family's 1533-position model. The record is from RNAcentral.